Molecule: ribosomal RNA, 625 nt
Filed under: uncultured bacterium
Lineage: Bacteria
Description: bacterial SSU rRNA
Rfam family: Bacterial small subunit ribosomal RNA (bases 1-522)
Source: RNAcentral
CCUACGGGAGGCAGCAGUGGGGAAUAUUGGACAAUGGGCGAAAGCCUGAUCCAGCAAUGCCGCGUGAGUGAUGAAGGCCUUCGGGUCGUAAAGCUCUUUUACCAGGGAUGAUAAUGACAGUACCUGGAGAAUAAGCUCCGGCUAACUCCGUGCCAGCAGCCGCGGUAAUACGGAGGGAGCUAGCGUUGUUCGGAAUUACUGGGCGUAAAGAGUACGUAGGCGGUUAUUCAAGUCAGAGGUGAAAGCCCGGGGCUCAACCCCGGAACUGCCUUUGAAACUAGAUAACUAGAGUCUUGGAGAGGUUAGUGGAAUUCCGAGUGUAGAGGUGAAAUUCGUAGAUAUUCGGAAGAACACCAGUGGCGAAGGCGACUAACUGGACAAGUACUGACGCUGAGGUACGAAAGCGUGGGGAGCAAACAGGAUUAGAUACCCUGGUAGUCCACGCCGUAAACGAUGAUAACUAGUUGUUCGGUCUACUGUGUACUGAGUGACGCAGACUAACGACAUUAAGUUAAUUCCGUCCGUCGGGGUAGGUACGGUCGGCGAAGAAGUUAAAACGUAACGAAAGAAAGUUAGUACGGCGUGUAAGGACGUGCCGAACGGACGACGACGAAGGGAGGUUAGG